AGGACGAACGCUGGCGGCGUGCCUAAUACAUGCAAGUCGAACGGUCUUUUCUAUGGAGGCUUGCUUCCACUGAGGAGAUAGUGGCGAACGGGUGAGUAACACGUGGGUAACCUGCCCAUAAGAGGGGGAUAACAUCCGGAAACGGGUGCUAAUACCGCAUAGUUUUCUUGAUCGCAUGAUCGGGAAAGGAAAGACGGCCUUUGUGCUGUCGCUUAUGGAUGGACCCGCGGCGUAUUAGUUAGUUGGUGAGGUAACGGCUCACCAAGACGAUGAUACGUAGCCGACCUGAGAGGGUGAUCGGCCACAUUGGGACUGAGACACGGCCCAAACUCCUACGGGAGGCAGCAGUAGGGAAUCUUCCGCAAUGGACGAAAGUCUGACGGAGCAACGCCGCGUGAGUGAAGAAAGGUUUUCGGAUCGUAAAACUCUGUUGUCAGAGAAGAACAAGUUGGAGAGUAACUGCUCCAGCCUUGACGGUAUCUGACCAGAAAGCCACGGCUAACUACGUGCCAGCCGCAGC
RNAcentral lists this ribosomal RNA (520 nucleotides) under uncultured bacterium. RNAcentral describes it as "bacterial SSU rRNA". It matches the Rfam family "Bacterial small subunit ribosomal RNA", at positions 26 to 518 of the family's 1533-position model. The record is from RNAcentral.